Molecule: ribosomal RNA, 507 nt
Filed under: Shimia sp.
Lineage: Bacteria; Pseudomonadati; Pseudomonadota; Alphaproteobacteria; Rhodobacterales; Roseobacteraceae
Description: bacterial SSU rRNA
Rfam family: Bacterial small subunit ribosomal RNA
Source: RNAcentral
GCAGCCUGAUCCAGCCAUGCCGCGUGAGUGAUGAAGGCCUUAGGGUCGUAAAGCUCUUUCGCCAGGGAUGAUAAUGACAGUACCUGGUAAAGAAACCCCGGCUAACUCCGUGCCAGCAGCCGCGGUAAUACGGAGGGGGUUAGCGUUGUUCGGAAUUACUGGGCGUAAAGCGUACGUAGGCGGGUUGUUAAGUUAGAGGUGAAAUCCCGGGGCUCAACCCCGGAACUGCCUUUAAUACUGGCAACCUAGAGUUCGAGAGAGGUGAGUGGAAUUCCGAGUGUAGAGGUGAAAUUCGUAGAUAUUCGGAGGAACACCAGUGGCGAAGGCGGCUCACUGGCUCGAUACUGACGCUGAGGUACGAAAGUGUGGGGAGCAAACAGGAUUAGAUACCCUGGUAGUCCACACCGUAAACGAUGAAUGCCAGUCGUCGGGUAGCAUGCUAUUCGGUGACACACCUAACGGAUUAAGCAUUCCGCCUGGGGAGUACGGUCGCAAGAUUAAAACUCA